Molecule: ribosomal RNA, 472 nt
Filed under: uncultured organism
Description: partial 16S ribosomal RNA
Rfam family: Bacterial small subunit ribosomal RNA
Source: RNAcentral
ACUCCUACGGGAGGCAGCAGUGGGGAAUUUUGGACAAUGGGCGAAAGCCUGAUCCAGCCAUGCCGCGUGCAGGAUGAAGGCCUUCGGGUUGUAAACUGCUUUUGUACGGAACGAAACGGCCUUUUCUAAUAAAGAGGGCUAAUGACGGUACCGUAAGAAUAAGCACCGGCUAACUACGUGCCAGCAGCCGCGGUAAUACGUAGGGUGCAAGCGUUAAUCGGAAUUACUGGGCGUAAAGCGUGCGCAGGCGGUUAUGUAAGACAGUUGUGAAAUCCCCGGGCUCAACCUGGGAACUGCAUCUGUGACUGCAUAGCUAGAGUACGGUAGAGGGGGAUGGAAUUCCGCGUGUAGCAGUGAAAUGCGUAGAUAUGCGGAGGAACACCGAUGGCGAAGGCAAUCCCCUGGACCUGUACUGACGCUCAUGCACGAAAGCGUGGGGAGCAAACAGGAUUAGAUACCCGGGUAGUCCCAU